CCGCUCGACUCUGUGCCUUGCAGAUCUACACUAAGAUGUAUUCGAUGCCCAACGGAGAGCAGGAGCAGGAGGGAGAGGCGAGCGGGGGUGACAGUGGUGACUGAAAUUCUGACGGAGGACGAGACAAGGAGAGUGAAGACUCGAGCAGUGGUGCGGAGGUCGACUCUCCACCUCGCACGGAAAGAGCUCCAAGCAGAGGUAGGACCCAGCAAGUGUUCGUGGCAAAGCUACUCCACCGACCGGACAGACCUUAAAGCGCACUAUAACAUCUUCUCCUGUGCUGACUAAGAAAGCUCCGAAGCAGCCCAAAGACGCACCGUCAAAGCCCCGGAAGGCCUUUCCCAAGAUUAAAGUGGAUGUCCCCAUCGCUUCUGGUUCUGCUACCUCUGGGACUUCUAUUUACCAAGAUGAUGAUGACGAGGAGAUGGAAGACGUAGUCACCUCCAACGCGGCUCCGCCCAAUGUUAUUGAACUUCCAGAUGACGACGAAGAUGUGCCGCAGAGACCUAUUGGAAGGAGGGGCGGGACUUCGAGCAGGAAGGCACCGGCUAGCAAAACGUCCCAGUCAACGCCGGCGACGGAACCAGUGAUUUAGCAGUCCAGAAACCUCAACUGGGUUUCUGUAACUUUUGUCGUUCCAGUAUCGAGUGAACGUCCUUGAUCAUCGACUGCACAAGUCCCUAUUUCGUCUAUAGAACACCACGCCUCGAAUCGUCAAGUUGUCGCGACUCUUCCACCGUCUCCGCUGUUUGUCACCCAUCGCGUUCCGGAGGAUUAGGCAAGCGCUGAUAAGGAAGCCAUACGCCAAGCAGGCCUGAUGAUGGAGCGGAUGAAUACGGUGCAUGAGACCAGCCAAGUUGCCUAUGAUGCCAGUGCAGCUCUCCAAGCCAAUGUCCAGAAAUCCUGUGAGCUCAUAUCCCAAUUUGCUGAAUUUGAGAGAAAGCAGAUCCAGCUCAAUCUUGACUUGGAGUUGGCCAAGAAGAACUUGCAGAAGGCCAAAGACGAAACAACUGGUAUGGAAGAGAAAAUGAGGCAGGCUCUGGCAUAGAAGGACCUUGAUCUUGCCGCAGCACAGGAGGCUCUGGAGAAAAUAGCACUCGCUGAUAAGAAGCUGGCUUCAAUCGGGGCGCUAGAGGAAGACAACGUCAAGCUGAAGACUGCUCUUGCCGAAGCUAAUAGAGAAGUGACCCAUUUGAAGAAGGACAAAGUAGCCUUGAAUGAAAAGAUUGAAUUCAUUUCUCGGAAGAGAAAUGACCUGGAGGCUUAUCUGGGGGGA
Molecule: long non-coding RNA, 1276 nt
Organism: Triticum dicoccoides
Lineage: Eukaryota; Viridiplantae; Streptophyta; Magnoliopsida; Poales; Poaceae
Exons: 5
Source: RefSeq, a predicted model, not a curated record